RNAcentral lists this transfer RNA (72 nucleotides) under Nippostrongylus brasiliensis. It matches the Rfam family "tRNA". From Rfam's summary of the family: Transfer RNA (tRNA) molecules are approximately 80 nucleotides in length. Their secondary structure includes four short double-helical elements and three loops (D, anti-codon, and T loops). The record is from Rfam by way of RNAcentral. Lineage: Eukaryota; Metazoa; Nematoda; Chromadorea; Rhabditida; Heligmosomidae.
GUCUCAGUAGCACAGUGGAUAGUGCACAGCCCCGGAUAGGCUGAGACGCGGGUUCGAAUCCUGCCUGAGAUG